GAUGAACGCUAGCGAUAGGCUUAACACAUGCAAGUCGAGGGGUAACGUGUUGGAAGCUUGCUUCCGAUGACGACGACCGGCGGAUGGGUGCGUAACGCGUAUGCAACUUGCCUCACAGUGGAGAAUAACCCGGAGAAAUCCGGACUAAUACUCCAUACACUCUUAAGUACGCCUGUACAUGAGAGGAACGAUUUAUCGCUGUGAGAUAGGCAUGCGUCCUAUUAGGUAGUUGGUGAGGUAACGGCUCACCAAGCCGACGAUAGGUAGGGGUGCUGAGAGGCAGAUCCCCCACAUUGGGACUGAGACACGGCCCAAACUCCUACGGGAGGCAGCAGUGAGGAAGAUUGGUCAAUGGAGGAAACUCUGAACCAGCCAAGUCGCGUGAAGGAAGAAUGUCCUAAGGAUUGUAAACUUCUUUAGCGAGCGAGUAAGGACUUCCACGUGAUGGGAGUUUGAAAGUAGCUCGAGAAUAAGUAUCGGCUAACUCCGUG
This 491-nucleotide ribosomal RNA is filed under the name uncultured bacterium. RNAcentral describes it as "partial 16S ribosomal RNA". It matches the Rfam family "Bacterial small subunit ribosomal RNA", at positions 28 to 507 of the family's 1533-position model. The record is from RNAcentral.